RNAcentral lists this ribosomal RNA (480 nucleotides) under uncultured bacterium. RNAcentral describes it as "partial 16S ribosomal RNA". It matches the Rfam family "Bacterial small subunit ribosomal RNA", at positions 28 to 523 of the family's 1533-position model. The record is from RNAcentral.
GACGAACGCUGGCGGCGUGCCUAACACAUGCAAGUCGAGCGAGUGAAUCUCCUUCGGGAGUGAAGCUAGCGGCGGACGGGUGAGUAACACGUGGGCAACCUGCCUCAUAGAGGGGAAUAGCCUUCCGAAAGGAAGAUUAAUACCGCAUAAGAUUGUAGCUUCGCGUGAAGUAGCAAUUAAAGGAGCAAUCCGCUAUGAGAUGGGCCCGCGGCGCAUUAGCUAGUUGGUGAGGUAACGGCUCACCAAGGCGACGAUGCGUAGCCGACCUGAGAGGGUGAUCGGCCACAUUGGGACUGAGACAUGGCCCAGACUCCUACGGGAGGCAGCAGUGGGGAAUAUUGCACAAUGGGGGAAACCCUGAUGCAGCAACGCCGCGUGAGUGAUGACGGCCUUCGGGUUGUAAAGCUCUGUCUUCAGGGACGAUAAUGACGGUACCUGAGGAGGAAGCCACGGCUAACUACGUGCCAGCAGCCGCCGUAA